Molecule: ribosomal RNA, 501 nt
Filed under: uncultured bacterium
Lineage: Bacteria
Description: partial 16S ribosomal RNA
Rfam family: Bacterial small subunit ribosomal RNA
Source: RNAcentral
AUUGAACGCUGGCGGCAUGCCUUACACGUGCAAGUCGAACGGCAGCACGGGUGCUUGCACCUGGUGGCGAGUGGCGAACGGGUGAGUGACACAUCGGAACGUACCUUAUCGUGGGGGAUAACGCAGCGAAAGCUGUGCUAAUACCGCAUACGCCCUGAGGGGGAAAGCGGGGGAUCGAAAGACCUCGCGCGAUUAGAGCGGCCGAUGCCUGAUUAGCUUGUUGGUGGGGUAAAAGCCCACCAAGGCGACGAUCAGUAGCUGGUCUGAGAGGACAAUCAGCCACACUGGGACUGAGACACGGCCCAGACUCCUACGGGAGGCAGCAGUGGGGAAUUUUGGACAAUGGGGGCAACCCUGAUCCAGCAAUGCCGCGUGAGUGAAGAAGGCCUUCGGGUUGUAAAGCUCUUUUGUCAGGGAAGAAACACCGGCUCUAACACAGUCCGGGAAUGACGGUACCUGAAGAAUAAGCACCGGCUAACUACGUGCCAGCCGCCGCGGUAA